CGAAAUGGGAUGAACCCAUACGUCUGAAUAAGGUGCCGAAAUGUACUAUCACUGAUACCAUAAAGGGAGUCCAUGUAUUUAGACAGCAGGUCGGUGCCCUAAAAGCAGGUAUCCGCUAAAGAGUGUGUUAAAACUCACCUGCCGAAUACUAGGGCCCCGAAAAUGAAUGGCGCAUAUAGUACUACCGAUCUCAGACAUCAGUUCUAUUGAACUGAGAGUAGGGGGAUGUGGACAUUUUUGUGAAGGUGCAAUGUGAGUUGGACUGGAAGAAUGUCUAUUACAGAUCCUAAUUGAAGUAGCGAUUAUCCAGGCUUGUAUCCUGGGGGCUGAUGAGGAGUAGGGUUUCUGGACAACUUAAACAGAUCCAGAGUUAGUCGAUCCUAAUCUCAAUAAUGGGAGAAAGGGAGUACAGUUGAUAUUCUGUAACUGACAACAGUUCGCGGCAACGCAUACUAUUUUUCUCCGCCAAUCUUAUACCGUUGGUAGGGAUCUCUUUCCUACAUGACAGUACUAAUACCCAGGGAAACUGGUCAUCAGGCGAACUGCGGCGUUCUGCUGGCAAAACAUAGCUUCGGUUAUGUCAAUGGCUAUUGGAUUGGUCCAUGAAGCGAAAAAUAGUUUACUGUGUCACUCGUACCGAUAACCGCAUCAGGUCUUCUAGGUAAGUAGCCUAUGGCCAUUGAGGCAUGAUAGUUCAGGGAAUUCGGCCAAUUAGAGCUGUAACUUCGGGAUAAAGCUUGGCUCUGAUGAAAAUCAGAACCGAUUGUUACGCGGAGAGCCCAACUGUUUAAUAAAAACGUAGUGUCGCGCUGUGGUAGUAUAGCCAGUGAACGCGACAUGAAUCCUGCUCAGUGCUGUGUCUGUUAAUAUGGUUCAAGCCAACGAAGCACCGGUAAAUAGCUGGGGUAACUAUGACUCUUAUCAAAGUAGCGAAAUACCUCGUCACUUAAUUAGUGACCUGCAUGAACGGAGCUAU
Molecule: non-coding RNA, 976 nt
Filed under: Trichomonas vaginalis G3
Lineage: Eukaryota; Parabasalia; Trichomonadida; Trichomonadidae
Description: Eukaryotic large subunit ribosomal RNA
Rfam family: Eukaryotic large subunit ribosomal RNA
Source: Rfam by way of RNAcentral